UACGGAGGGGGCAAGCGUUAUUCGGAAUUAUUGGGCGUAAAGGGCGCGUAGGCGGCUAGAUGUGUCAAAGGUGAAAUCCCUCGGCUCAACUGAGGAACUGCCUUUGAAACUGUCUGGCUUGAGGCCGGGAGAGGGUAGCGGAAUUCCCAGUGUAGCGGUGAAAUGCGUAGAUAUUGGGAGGAACACCAGUGGCGAAGGCGGCUACCUGGACCGGUUCUGACGCUGAGGCGCGAAAGCGUGGGUAGCAAACA
This 251-nucleotide ribosomal RNA is filed under the name uncultured bacterium. RNAcentral's name for it is "partial 16S ribosomal RNA". It matches the Rfam family "Bacterial small subunit ribosomal RNA", at positions 524 to 774 of the family's 1533-position model. The record is from RNAcentral.